RNAcentral lists this microRNA (20 nucleotides) under Sorghum bicolor (sorghum). RNAcentral's name for it is "sbi-miR166k". Its record names the gene sbi-miR166k. The record is from miRBase by way of RNAcentral. RNAcentral also lists the same sequence under 3 other names. Lineage: Eukaryota; Viridiplantae; Streptophyta; Magnoliopsida; Poales; Poaceae.
UCGGACCAGGCUUCAUUCCU